This is a long non-coding RNA of Triticum aestivum (bread wheat), 1443 nucleotides long. RefSeq lists it as uncharacterized. The transcript is spliced from 3 exons. The record is from RefSeq and is a predicted model, not a curated record. Lineage: Eukaryota; Viridiplantae; Streptophyta; Magnoliopsida; Poales; Poaceae.
ACGACAGUAGAAACUCCCCGACCCGUCCCCAACCUAACCCGCCUCCUACCGCCGGAGGCACCCGCGACGGCGGCAGCCGGAGCGAGGGAGCCCGCAGCGCCGUGACGGGUAGCUCCUCCGACCCACGCGCUGCCGCCGGCCGCCCGUCCGCACGCCUCCCCGCCAACGGGCUCGCCGGCCCCUCCGCGCGCGCCUUCCCUCCGACGGGCGCCACCCCCUCCCCGCGCACCUUCCCGUCGACGGGUGCCGGAUCCUCCCUGCGCGCCUCCCCUCCGACGGGCUCGCCGGCCCCUCCCCGCGCGCCUCCCCUCCGGCGGGCGCUGGCCCCUCCCCGUGCACCUCCCCGCUGGCGUUACUCGUCUCCUCCCCACGCGCCUCCCCGCGGGCGUUCGCCGGCCCCUACCAGCGAGUCUCCCCGCCGCCGGGCCCUCCCCGUGAAGCUCCCCGCCGCCAUCGACGCCAACUGCUGCUCGCGAACGGGAUGGAUUCAAUGCCCGCUGCCGGAUCCAGCGCCCCCACCACCAUCUCCCAAUUCACUGCCUGUCGCGCAUGGCAUCGCCCUUCCUUCCUUCCUCUUAAUAUUCUCUGCCAGCCGGUAGUGGCAUCCCAUGUGCUGCAGCUUCCAGCGUCGUCCUCUGCCUUGUCGGCACACAAGCCGUUCGCCUCAGCCACCCCAGUCCGUUCACAAUUUCUAGCAGAGUCCGUUCAACACUAGCGUGCAGCUACCCGCCUCCUGGAUUCAGGGACGCAUUCAUGGCUUUAUUCAAUAAGUGGACUGUGGGCAGAUGUUGAUCAACAAGUGAGCUAAGGGACUGGACGCCCUCCUCGCCGCGGCGUCAUUGCUGGCCGUCAGCGGCGGAAGCGGGGUGGCGGCCGGGACGUUGUUGUGCUCGUCUCCGACUACUGUCAAGGCUGGAACAUGGAGCUUGCAGCUUAUGUUUGUUGUCGUUUGAACUUAGGCUCUUCUCUCUCUUGUACUUCAGUUAUUCUUCAGUUUUCAGUAUUGGUGUAGUCUGUAUGGUGAAGAUGAAGUUCCUUUUUGAACUUCUCCGGUUAAUAUACAUGAACUUGGUCAUCUUUUUAUAUGUACUUACAUCAGCUCAUCCAGUUGUUCGUGUAAUUGUAAUACUAAUCAGUUCAGAUCUCGAGAGAGGUAAGCUCAGAGAAAAAAUACAGAAGUUCAAAGUCGAUAAAAAAGGGGAUUUUAUUUCUUUGUUGUUAUUUUUUUGCAACCAGAUGCGACAGACAGAGGCAAGAUGCAAAGUGUGCUGUUUGUUAGAUGUUCAGUACAGAUUUUUCUCUAAGAAAAAAGCAGCAGGAGGCAACAGUUUUGAAUGUGCUAGUUGUAAGUCACUUAGUUAUUAGAUGGUCAUUUCAGAUUUUUGUAGAUGCAACAACUAGUUUGUUUUCUCGUGCUAGUUGAACUAGUCUUGGUUCAUAUAU